RNAcentral lists this ribosomal RNA (468 nucleotides) under uncultured bacterium. RNAcentral's name for it is "partial 16S ribosomal RNA". It matches the Rfam family "Bacterial small subunit ribosomal RNA", at positions 28 to 507 of the family's 1533-position model. The record is from RNAcentral.
GACGAACGCUGGCGGCGUGCUUAACACAUGCAAGUCGAACGGAAAGGCCCUGCUUUUGUGCGGUGCUCGAGUGGCGAACGGGUGAGUAACACGUGAGUAACCUGCCCUUGACUUUGGGGUAACUUCAGGAAACUGGGGCUACUACCGUAUAGGAGAUCCUGCUGCAUGGUGGGGGUUGGAUAGUCUCGGCGGUUGGGGAUGGACUGGCGGCUUAACACCUUGUUGGUGGGGUAGUGGUUUACCCAGGCAUUGAAGGGUAGGCGGCACGAGAGGGUGAACGGCCACAAUGGGACUGAGAGACGGCCCAGUCGGGAACGGGAGGCAGCAGUGGGGAGUAUGGCACAAUGGGAGCGAGUCGGUGGCAGCAACCCCGCGGGUGGGAAGACGGCCUGCGGGGUGAAAACCGCAGUCGGUUGUGACGAAGCGGUAGUGACGGUAAUGGGUAAAGAAGCACCGGCUAACUACGUG